RNAcentral lists this ribosomal RNA (497 nucleotides) under uncultured bacterium. Its description in RNAcentral is "partial 16S ribosomal RNA". It matches the Rfam family "Bacterial small subunit ribosomal RNA", at positions 28 to 507 of the family's 1533-position model. The record is from RNAcentral.
GAUGAACGCUGGCGGCGUGCCUAAUACAUGCAAGUCGAGCGAACAGACGAGGAGCUUGCUCCGUGCACGUUAGCCGCGGACGUGUGUGUAACACGUGGAUAAUCUACUUAUAUUUCUGGGAAAUUUUCGGGAAACCGGAUCUAAUCGCGUAUAAUAUAUUGAACCGCAUGGUUCAAUGGUGAAUUACGGUGUUGCUGGCUCGUAUAGAGGGAUCCGCGCCGCAUUAGCUAGUUGGUAAGGUAACGGCUUACCAAGGCAACGAUGCGUAGCCGAACGGAGAGGGUGGUCGGCCGCCCUGGAAGGUGACCGCGCACCAGACUCCUACGGGAGGGAGCAGUAGGGAAUCUUACGCAAUGGUCGGGAGCUUGACGGAGCGGCGCGACGUGAGUGAUGGAGGUCUUGGGAUCGUAAAACUGUGUUAUUAGGGGAGAACAAAUGUGUAAGUAGCUAUGGACGUCUUGACGGUACCUAAUCAGAAAGCCCCGGCUAACUACGUG